This 533-nucleotide long non-coding RNA is filed under the name Rattus norvegicus (Norway rat). Its description in RNAcentral is "long non-coding RNA NONRATT033464". Lineage: Eukaryota; Metazoa; Chordata; Mammalia; Rodentia; Muridae. The record is from RNAcentral.
CUUUAGUACACCACUUAGCACAGUGGCGCCUGACACUGAAGGAGACAUCUAGUAAAUGUUUGACUGAAUGGACACACUCAGUUUCAUCUGCCACAGAAUUUGUGUUUGGGGAUAAAUACUUUAUUGUCUCCCAUUUCAUCUGUUACCUCUUCCUUAUUUUGCUUCAGGUCCAUUGUGAUGUUAUUCCAGGAUGCAGCAGACAGCAUACCUCCAUCUCUUGGUUGAUCUUCCUGAAUGGCUGGAGUGCAAAUCUUCUCCACAGUCAGCUGGAGGCAUUUACCAGAGGGGUGAAAGAUAGAAACCAGCUCAUAGGAAAAUAUUCGACAGUGCCCUGUACAUGUAAGUGGACAUGCUUAAAAAUACUUACAAGCAGAGGUAAGAGUAAGGUUUGACAGUGAAAUCAGAAAACAGAACUCCCAUUUAUAGAUUCUAAAGAAAACAAAUUCAUUCUAGCUCAUCAAAUGAUCUCCUGUGUAGUCACAUACUGUGACAGUCAUAGUAUGCCCUCACACUCUCACACGUCAGAGUUCCUG